This 670-nucleotide ribosomal RNA is filed under the name uncultured bacterium. RNAcentral's name for it is "bacterial SSU rRNA". It matches the Rfam family "Bacterial small subunit ribosomal RNA", at positions 8 to 650 of the family's 1533-position model. The record is from RNAcentral.
AGAGUUUGAUCCUGGCUCAGAUUGAACGCUGGCGGCGUGCUUAACACAUGCAAGUCGUACGAGAACGCUUUAGCUUGCUAGAGCUAGUAAAGUGGCGCACGGGUGAGUAACACGUGGGUAAUUUACCUUCAGGUUCGGGACAACACUGCGAAAGCGGUGCUAAUACCGGAUAAUAUCUGCGAAGCCCCGGCUUCGCAGAUCAAAGGAAGCCUCUACAUGUAAGCCUCUGCCCGAAGAAAAGCCCGCGGACCAUUAGCUUGUUGGUGAGGUAACGGCUCACCAAGGCGACGAUGGUUAGCUGGUCUGAGAGGAUGAUCAGCCACACUGGAACUGAGACACGGUCCAGACUCCUACGGGAGGCAGCAGUGAGGAAUUUUGCGCAAUGGGGGAAACCCUGACGCAGCAACGCCGCGUGAGUGAAGAAGGCUCUUGAGUCGUAAAGCUCUGUCAAGCGGAAAGAAAUCAUGCUCCAUGAAUAGUGGAGUGUGUUGACGGUACCGCUAAAGGAAGCACCGGCUAACUCCGUGCCAGCAGCCGCGGUAAUACGGGGGGUGCUAGCGUUAAUCGGAUUUAUUGGGCGUAAAGCGCGCGUAGGCGGCUUCAUAAGUCAGAUGUGAAAGCCCGGGGCUCAACCCCGGAAGUACCUUUGAUACUAUGGAGCUUGAGUAUG